This is a long non-coding RNA of Gigantopelta aegis, 887 nucleotides long. RefSeq lists it as uncharacterized. The record is from RefSeq and is a predicted model, not a curated record. The transcript has 2 exons. NCBI's taxonomy places the organism in Eukaryota, Metazoa, Mollusca, Gastropoda, Neomphalida, Peltospiridae.
CAGGUUGAACAACAUAUCACUAUAAUUAACAUUUUAUCACCUGUUUCUAGUAUUGCCCUGUACCUGUGAUGUGUUCGUGUAUGCUGGUCAACCACGCGUGACCACAUCAGUGCAGUCAGUGUGAGCUCUUUUGGUAGCCAUAGCUACAAUACAAACACCCAAGCUAUCUUUAAACUUUGACCCUUGUCUCUUUCUCUCCCAUUGGAUAAUUAACACUCACAUGUAUCUGCAUGCUUUCUUUGGACUGACAAGACAGGACAGAAUUAUUUAGUAUUUGAAGAAACAAGUUCAGAUAAGAGAGAAAUAGUAGAAGUUUAAUUUAAAGGUUUCCCCAGUUGUUAUGGAAUAUAUCAACACAAUGCCUACGUGUAAUUCAUAUGGUAUGUUAAGCUACAGGUUAAGUCUAAUAUUUAUAUAUUUGUAAUUUUAAAUAUACUCUUGUAAUUUAUAUCCUUUCUUUCAUAAACUCAUUAAUGAUAAAGCUUUAUUACGUCAAAUAAUAAUUAUAAUUACAAUCAUUUAAAUAACCCUAUUUACUAUAAAUUAUCUCCCCUUUGCUAUAAUCAAUGAUUAUAAUUGGUGGUCACGAAAUGAUUAUUAUAUAUAUAUAUAUACAUGUAUGUUAACAUGAUUAAUAAUCGUGAUGACAGUAUUUAGGAUAAAGAGGAUGAUGAUUCAUAAUCAUCAGAAUGAUAAAUAAUGAUUAAUGACGGUUUUCUAUGAUUUGCAAUGUGUUUCAUUAAUAUAUGCCUGAAUGUUUGUUUUACCUCGAUAGGGAUAUAUUUGUAUUGUUUUUACCAUAUUGUUAACGUUUGUGUUUUUAAUCCUUGCAGGGUGUGUCUUGUGUAUUAUGUUUACAUGAAUAAAAGAUGAUGCCCUAACCCGUA